CAGUAAAUAGUUUAAUAAAAAUAUUAAUUUUGGAGAUUAAUGAUGGGGUUAUCCUUUUUACUGA
Molecule: transfer RNA, 64 nt
Filed under: Quernocoris caliginosus
Lineage: Eukaryota; Metazoa; Arthropoda; Insecta; Hemiptera; Miridae
Description: tRNA-Pro
Source: RNAcentral